GGCCACUUACGUCCACUCUACAGCUGAUCUACCUCAGAUGCGCAUUUUUUUCCACACUCUCACAACCUCUUCUUCCCCAUAAAAAAGUAAAUAAACUAAAUUAUGAUAUUUCUCUGAAAAAUUCGAUUCUAUUCUCGAAAUUUGAUGUUUCUGAUUUUUUUUAAAGGUUGAAUUUCGAUGUGUUAUUUAGCCGUCGGUGUUUAUUUUUCAGAAAGCUUGAAUCUUAAGGCAUCUCAGGAUGACAAGUGAGUUAUUUGAGGUAUGAAUUUAUAGGGUUUUUAUUUUCUUAGAAUUUAACUUUAUUUUUCACCCUUCCUCUUUUGGUAAUGAUCUUUAUAAUUCAUGUAUUCUAAAGAAAUUGAAUUUAUACUUCGCUGUUUUAGGUUAGAAAUCCCCUUUGACACUAAUUUUGGCGUUUGUGCUUUAAGUAAUGAUAAUCUGAAAUUUUGCCGGUCUUUAGGUGUUCCGGGUAGAAGACAUCACUUAAUUUCAUCUCUAUAUGUGGGGAAAGUUGUAUAAUUGAGGGAAAUAAUCAAAUAGCUUUGCUUUUUGCAAAACUAAGUUUGGAAAUAAAUUUAGAGAUUGGGCAUUAACACUUCUUGGACGUGGGGCUUGAUGGACGAUACUCGGGAGGAUGAUAGGUACCCGUCCAAUCCUUAUGGCAUAAAUGACCAAGAUUUUCCCAUUCGGAAUGCCACUUAUGUUGGGAAUGUUGGUAAUGAGUAUGUUGAGGAUGAAGAUAAUGAUGAUGAUAACGAAGAUAUGGAAUAUGAAGACGAUGAUGAUGAUGAUGGUGGAGGGUCUAGUGUUCAGAGGAUUAAAGAUGAUUAUGCUGAUGAUGAUGUUGAUGAUGAGGAUGAGGAUGAGGAUGAGGAUGAGGAUGAUUAUGGUAAUUUACAGAGGCACCCGAAAAAGAGAAAACUGAAAAGCUUGUUGUCGAGUUAUGAGUUUGCACCACGAGUACCAGCACCAUCAUCUGCAACUCCUGCGGUGCCAAAGCCAUCAUAUGGUGGACGGAAUCCGCAUACAGAUUGGACUGAGAGUGAGACUGUUAUCUUACUGGAUGCUUGGGGUGAUCGGUUUCUCAAGCAUGGGAGGAAGAGCCUUCGGUCUGAAGAGUGGCAAGAGGUUUCUAAGAAGGUCUCCCAGGAGUCAAAAAUUGAGAGAACAGAUACUCAGUGUCGGAACCGUUUAGAUACAUUGAAGAAAAAAUACAAGAAAGAGAAGAUGAAAUUGGGAGAAUCUUGGGGUUCCACUAGUAAAUGGGUGUAUUUCAAGAAGAUGGAUAUGUUGCUGUCAUCAGGCCCACAGCAAGCUGGCCUAUCAUGUGGAGUGGACUCAGGGGAGUAUACGUUCAUGAACCCUAAAGUUUAUCUGAAUAGCUCCAAUGGAAUGGAUGAGAUGAGAGAUAGCCCAGGGAAUUCGGAAUCCACCAAAGGUGAGGAAGGUGUUCCGGAGGGUCUCCCUUCUAAGAAAACGAGGAAUGAAAUGGGUAAUGGAGCUUCUCUUAAAUUGCUUGCUGAUUCCAUCCAGAAAUUUAGCGACAUAUAUGAGAAGAUCGAGAACAGUAAGAGACAACAAAUGCUGGAACUGGAGAAAAUGAGGAUGGACUUCCAUAGAGAUUUGGAGAUGCAGAAGAGGCAGAUUCUAGAGAGAGCUCAAGCUGAGAUUGUGAAAAUACGACAAGGAGAUGAAGAUAAUGAUGUGUCUGCUGAGAAUGUCAGCGGUUAAUGUAUCUUGUCAUCAUUGUAUUUUAUCCAGGGAAUUAUCCCUGGAUACAUUGUUGUGUGUGGGGAUUAUUGGAUGCUGGGAGUUGUACUAUAUCCACGGUUGUAACCCUAUUGGUCCUUGAUCUUCAAGGCAAUAAUACUGAUAUGUUGGGAACAUUUAUGAAAGUCAUAGUAAUUAAACUUUUUCUUAGUUCAUUUCCGUUUUAUUGAUAUCAUGUUAAUUGUUCCUCUUGGGGAAGG
Molecule: long non-coding RNA, 1970 nt
Filed under: Olea europaea subsp. europaea
Lineage: Eukaryota; Viridiplantae; Streptophyta; Magnoliopsida; Lamiales; Oleaceae
Source: RNAcentral